AGGACCUCAGGAGCCAGAGCUGGUCGUGCCUGGCGCUCCCCAGGACUGAGAGGCCCUGACUUCCAUGGGGGCGGCUGCCAGCCGGCGUGAGCCUUCGGGACUCCAAGGCCAGGCUCCUCUGAGCCCUCUUCUUCAUUCAACCUUGCUUGGCCCUUGAAGACUUGAACAAACACUAACAUAGUUUCAACCAGCUCAUGGCCGCAUCCCGAGUAGAACCCAAGCCUCCAUUAAAGUGCCUGCCUCAAAAGCUCAAGGCUGUCUAAAGAAUUUGCUGCUUAUUCCAGCCGACACCUGAGGAUAGGGCCCUUGUAUCCCAGCUUCCGGGAGAGGGUGCUGGAAGCCCACGAACCACAUUUCACAGAUUCCCUUGACAACAGAGUUCUGCCAAUAAAAUGUACCUGUGUGAAAUCUGGAAGGUGGAAGCCACUCUCUCCUCCUCUGCAGAGCAGACACGCAGGCUGUACGCUGGACUCCAUAUUCCCCCACUAGUCACCGGGCUUGGGACUGUGGGGUGGGGGCUGCCGUGACCUCAGCAGUCUGUUGAGUGGUGGCAGCAGCUUUGAAUCUAUGGAAAGCAGCUGUAACCUGAAAGCUAGUGAUGCGAUCCCCCCCCCCCCCACACUCACCACCGCUAGCCCCCCAGUGAUGAGCACCAAUUAUGUUUAUGGACAUCCGUCAUGACCUGAGCUGAAACCAAGAGUUGAAUGUUUAACCAACCUAACCACCCAGGAGCCACAGGAGUGGAGGAAUUUUUGCCUUUUCCGCAGACUGCGCCGCAUUAUCCCUUGGAAUCAUGCAGCCAUGAUCUGUGUUGGGUGA
Molecule: long non-coding RNA, 819 nt
Organism: Neomonachus schauinslandi (Hawaiian monk seal)
Lineage: Eukaryota; Metazoa; Chordata; Mammalia; Carnivora; Phocidae
Exons: 3
Source: RefSeq, a predicted model, not a curated record